RNAcentral lists this ribosomal RNA (490 nucleotides) under uncultured bacterium. Its description in RNAcentral is "partial 16S ribosomal RNA". It matches the Rfam family "Bacterial small subunit ribosomal RNA", at positions 30 to 507 of the family's 1533-position model. The record is from RNAcentral.
AUUGAACGCUGGCGGCAGGCCUAACACAUGCAAGUCGAACGGUAACAGGAAGAAGCUUGCUUCUUUGCUGACGAGUGGCGGACGGGUGAGUAAUGUCUGGGAAACUGCCUGAUGGAGGGGGAUAACUACUGGAAACGGUAGCUAAUACCGCAUAACGUCGCAAGACCAAAGAGGGGGACCUUCGGGCCUCUUGCCAUCGGAUGUGCCCAGAUGGGAUUAGCUAGUAGGUGGGGUAACGGCUCACCUAGGCGACGAUCCCUAGCUGGUCUGAGAGGAUGACCAGCCACACUGGAACUGAGACACGGUCCAGACUCCUACGGGAGGCAGCAGUGGGGAAUAUUGCACAAUGGGCGCAAGCCUGAUGCAGCCAUGCCGCGUGUAUGAAGAAGGCCUUCGGGUUGUAAAGUACUUUCAGCGGGGAGGAAGGGAGUAAAGUUUAUACCUUUGCUCAUUGACGUUACCCGCAGAAGAAGCACCGGCUAACUCCGUG